Molecule: ribosomal RNA, 2904 nt
Filed under: Klebsiella pneumoniae subsp. pneumoniae Kp13
Lineage: Bacteria; Pseudomonadati; Pseudomonadota; Gammaproteobacteria; Enterobacterales; Enterobacteriaceae
Description: bacterial LSU rRNA
Rfam family: Bacterial large subunit ribosomal RNA
Source: RNAcentral
GGUUAAGCGACUAAGCGUACACGGUGGAUGCCCUGGCAGUCAGAGGCGAUGAAGGACGUGCUAAUCUGCGAAAAGCGUCGGUAAGGUGAUAUGAACCGUUACAGCCGGCGAUGUCCGAAUGGGGAAACCCAGUGCAAUUCGUUGCACUAUCGUUAACUGAAUACAUAGGUUAACGAGGCGAACCGGGGGAACUGAAACAUCUAAGUACCCCGAGGAAAAGAAAUCAACCGAGAUUCCCCCAGUAGCGGCGAGCGAACGGGGAGCAGCCCAGAGUCUGAAUCAGCUUGUGUGUUAGUGGAACGGUCUGGAAAGUCCGACGGUACAGGGUGAUAGUCCCGUACACCAAAAUGCACAGGCUGUGAACUCGAAGAGUAGGGCGGGACACGUGGUAUCCUGUCUGAAUAUGGGGGGACCAUCCUCCAAGGCUAAAUACUCCUGACUGACCGAUAGUGAACCAGUACCGUGAGGGAAAGGCGAAAAGAACCCCGGCGAGGGGAGUGAAAAAGAACCUGAAACCGUGUACGUACAAGCAGUGGGAGCACCUUCGGGUGUGACUGCGUACCUUUUGUAUAAUGGGUCAGCGACUUAUAUUCUGUAGCAAGGUUAACCGUAUAGGGGAGCCGCAGGGAAACCGAGUCUUAACUGGGCGUUAAGUUGCAGGGUAUAGACCCGAAACCCGGUGAUCUAGCCAUGGGCAGGUUGAAGGUUGGGUAACACUAACUGGAGGACCGAACCGACUAAUGUUGAAAAAUUAGCGGAUGACUUGUGGCUGGGGGUGAAAGGCCAAUCAAACCGGGAGAUAGCUGGUUCUCCCCGAAAGCUAUUUAGGUAGCGCCUCGUGAAUUCAUCUUCGGGGGUAGAGCACUGUUUCGGCUAGGGGGUCAUCCCGACUUACCAACCCGAUGCAAACUACGAAUACCGAAGAAUGUUAUCACGGGAGACACACGGCGGGUGCUAACGUCCGUCGUGAAGAGGGAAACAACCCAGACCGCCAGCUAAGGUCCCAAAGUCAUGGUUAAGUGGGAAACGAUGUGGGAAGGCACAGACAGCCAGGAUGUUGGCUUAGAAGCAGCCAUCAUUUAAAGAAAGCGUAAUAGCUCACUGGUCGAGUCGGCCUGCGCGGAAGAUGUAACGGGGCUAAACCAUGCACCGAAGCUGCGGCAGCGACACUAUGUGUUGUUGGGUAGGGGAGCGUUCUGUAAGCCUGCGAAGGUGUGCUGUGAGGCAUGCUGGAGGUAUCAGAAGUGCGAAUGCUGACAUAAGUAACGAUAAAGCGGGUGAAAAGCCCGCUCGCCGGAAGACCAAGGGUUCCUGUCCAACGUUAAUCGGGGCAGGGUGAGUCGACCCCUAAGGCGAGGCCGAAAGGCGUAGUCGAUGGGAAACAGGUUAAUAUUCCUGUACUUGGUGUUACUGCGAAGGGGGGACGGAGAAGGCUAUGUUAGCCGGGCGACGGUUGUCCCGGUUUAAGCAUGUAGGCUGGUUGUCCAGGCAAAUCCGGAUAAUCAAGGCUGAGGUGUGAUGACGAGGCACUACGGUGCUGAAGUAACAAAUGCCCUGCUUCCAGGAAAAGCCUCUAAGCAUCAGGUAACAUCAAAUCGUACCCCAAACCGACACAGGUGGUCAGGUAGAGAAUACCAAGGCGCUUGAGAGAACUCGGGUGAAGGAACUAGGCAAAAUGGUGCCGUAACUUCGGGAGAAGGCACGCUGGUGUGUAGGUGAAGUCCCUGCGGAUGGAGCUGAGACCAGUCGAAGAUACCAGCUGGCUGCAACUGUUUAUUAAAAACACAGCACUGUGCAAACACGAAAGUGGACGUAUACGGUGUGACGCCUGCCCGGUGCCGGAAGGUUAAUUGAUGGGGUUAUCCGUAAGGAGAAGCUCUUGAUCGAAGCCCCGGUAAACGGCGGCCGUAACUAUAACGGUCCUAAGGUAGCGAAAUUCCUUGUCGGGUAAGUUCCGACCUGCACGAAUGGCGUAAUGAUGGCCAGGCUGUCUCCACCCGAGACUCAGUGAAAUUGAACUCGCUGUGAAGAUGCAGUGUACCCGCGGCAAGACGGAAAGACCCCGUGAACCUUUACUAUAGCUUGACACUGAACAUUGAGCCUUGAUGUGUAGGAUAGGUGGGAGGCUUUGAAGCGUGGACGCCAGUCUGCGUGGAGCCAACCUUGAAAUACCACCCUUUAAUGUUUGAUGUUCUAACGUUGGCCCCUUACCGGGGUUGCGGACAGUGUCUGGUGGGUAGUUUGACUGGGGCGGUCUCCUCCCAAAGCGUAACGGAGGAGCACGAAGGUUAGCUAAUCCUGGUCGGACAUCAGGAGGUUAGUGCAAUGGCAUAAGCUAGCUUGACUGCGAGCGUGACGGCGCGAGCAGGUGCGAAAGCAGGUCAUAGUGAUCCGGUGGUUCUGAAUGGAAGGGCCAUCGCUCAACGGAUAAAAGGUACUCCGGGGAUAACAGGCUGAUACCGCCCAAGAGUUCAUAUCGACGGCGGUGUUUGGCACCUCGAUGUCGGCUCAUCACAUCCUGGGGCUGAAGUAGGUCCCAAGGGUAUGGCUGUUCGCCAUUUAAAGUGGUACGCGAGCUGGGUUUAGAACGUCGUGAGACAGUUCGGUCCCUAUCUGCCGUGGGCGCUGGAGAAUUGAGGGGGGCUGCUCCUAGUACGAGAGGACCGGAGUGGACGCAUCACUGGUGUUCGGGUUGUCAUGCCAAUGGCACUGCCCGGUAGCUAAAUGCGGAAGAGAUAAGUGCUGAAAGCAUCUAAGCACGAAACUUGCCCCGAGAUGAGUUCUCCCUGAGACUUUAAGUCUCCUGAAGGAACGUUGAAGACGACGACGUUGAUAGGCCGGGUGUGUAAGCGCAGCGAUGCGUUGAGCUAACCGGUACUAAUGAACCGUGAGGCUUAACCUUAC